CCUACGGGAGGCAGCAGUGGGGAAUAUUGGGCAAUGGGCGCAAGCCUGACCCAGCAACGCCGCGUGAAUGAAGAAGGCUUUCGGGUUGUAAACUUCUUUUCUCAGGGACGAAGCAAGUGACGGUACCUGAGGAAUAAGCUACGGCUAACUACGUGCCAGCAGCCGCGGUAAUACGUAGGUGGCAAGCGUUAUCCGGAUUUACUGGGUGUAAAGGACGUGUAGGCGGGGACGGAAGUCAGAUGUGAAAACCACGGGCUCAACCUGGGGACUGCAUUUGAAACUGUGUUUCUUGAGUACUUGAGGGGCCGACGGAAUUCCUAGUGUAGCGGUGAAAUGCGUAGAUAUUAGGAGGAACACCAGUGGCGAAGGCGGUCUGCUGGACAGCAACUGACGCUGAGGCGCGAAAGCGUGGGGAGCAAACAGGAUUAGAUACCCCAGUAGUC
Molecule: ribosomal RNA, 443 nt
Filed under: uncultured bacterium
Lineage: Bacteria
Description: partial 16S ribosomal RNA
Rfam family: Bacterial small subunit ribosomal RNA
Source: RNAcentral